UUAACUCAAAUUUACAUGCAGUUGGAACAGCGCCCCUAGCGGCAAACGCAGGCAAACGUUCCAACUCCAUACAAAUUAGAGUUA
This 84-nucleotide microRNA precursor is filed under the name Bombyx mori (domestic silkworm). Its description in RNAcentral is "mir-2807 microRNA precursor family". It matches the Rfam family "mir-2807 microRNA precursor family". The record is from Rfam by way of RNAcentral. Lineage: Eukaryota; Metazoa; Arthropoda; Insecta; Lepidoptera; Bombycidae.